Molecule: ribosomal RNA, 930 nt
Filed under: uncultured bacterium
Lineage: Bacteria
Description: bacterial SSU rRNA
Rfam family: Bacterial small subunit ribosomal RNA
Source: RNAcentral
CACAUGCAAGUCGAACGAAGCUUGACGGAUGAUUUCUUCGGAAUGAAACCUGAUAUGACUUAGUGGCGGACGGGUGAGUAACACGUGAGCAACCUGCCUUUCAGAGGGGGAUAACGGCUGGAAACGGUCGCUAAUACCGCAUGACGUGUUCGGAUGGCAUCAUCUGAACAUCAAAGAUUUAUCGCUGAAAGAUGGGCUCGCGUCUGAUUAGAUAGUUGGUGGGGUAACGGCCUACCAAGUCUACGAUCAGUAGCCGGACUGAGAGGUUGAACGGCCACAUUGGGACUGAGAUACGGCCCAGACUCCUACGGGAGGCAGCAGUGGGGAAUAUUGCACAAUGGGGGAAACCCUGAUGCAGCAACGCCGCGUGAAGGAUGACGGUUUUCGGAUUGUAAACUUCUUUUCUUAGUGACGAAGACAGUGACGGUAGCUAAGGAAUAAGCAUCGGCUAACUACGUGCCAGCAGCCGCGGUAAUACGUAGGAUGCAAGCGUUAUCCGGAUUUACUGGGUGUAAAGGGAGCGCAGGCGGGACUGCAAGUUGGAUGUGAAAUACCGUGGCUUAACCACGGAACUGCAUCCAAAACUGUAGUUCUUGAGUGAAGUAGAGGCAAGCGGAAUUCCGAGUGUAGCGGUGAAAUGCGUAGAUAUUCGGAGGAACACCAGUGGCGAAGGCGGCUUGCUGGGCUUUAACUGACGCUGAGGCUCGAAAGUGUGGGGAGCAAACAGGAUUAGAUACCCUGGUAGUCCACACUGUAAACGAUGAUAGCUAGGUGUGGGGGGUCUGACCCCUUCCGUGCCGGAGUUAACGCAAUAAGCUAUCCACCUGGGGAGUACGACCGCAAGGUUGAAACUCAAAGGAAUUGACGGGGGCCCGCACAAGCAGUGGAUUAUGUGGUUUAAUUCGAAGCAACGCGAAGAACCUUACCAGG